RNAcentral lists this ribosomal RNA (805 nucleotides) under Pseudomonas aeruginosa. RNAcentral's name for it is "bacterial SSU rRNA". It matches the Rfam family "Bacterial small subunit ribosomal RNA", at positions 265 to 1062 of the family's 1533-position model. Lineage: Bacteria; Pseudomonadati; Pseudomonadota; Gammaproteobacteria; Pseudomonadales; Pseudomonadaceae. The record is from RNAcentral.
CUACCAAGGCGACGAUCCGUAACUGGUCUGAGAGGAUGAUCAGUCACACUGGAACUGAGACACGGUCCAGACUCCUACGGGAGGCAGCAGUGGGGAAUAUUGGACAAUGGGCGAAAGCCUGAUCCAGCCAUGCCGCGUGUGUGAAGAAGGUCUUCGGAUUGUAAAGCACUUUAAGUUGGGAGGAAGGGCAGUAAGUUAAUACCUUGCUGUUUUGACGUUACCAACAGAAUAAGCACCGGCUAACUUCGUGCCAGCAGCCGCGGUAAUACGAAGGGUGCAAGCGUUAAUCGGAAUUACUGGGCGUAAAGCGCGCGUAGGUGGUUCAGCAAGUUGGAUGUGAAAUCCCCGGGCUCAACCUGGGAACUGCAUCCAAAACUACUGAGCUAGAGUACGGUAGAGGGUGGUGGAAUUUCCUGUGUAGCGGUGAAAUGCGUAGAUAUAGGAAGGAACACCAGUGGCGAAGGCGACCACCUGGACUGAUACUGACACUGAGGUGCGAAAGCGUGGGGAGCACACAGGAUUAGAUACCCUGGUAGUCCACGCCGUAAACGAUGUCGACUAGCCGUUGGGAUCCUUGAGAUCUUAGUGGCGCAGCUAACGCGAUAAGUCGACCGCCUGGGGAGUACGGCCGCAAGGUUAAAACUCAAAUGAAUUGACGGGGGCCCGCACAAGCGGUGGAGCAUGUGGUUUAAUUCGAAGCAACGCGAAGAACCUUACCUGGCCUUGACAUGCUGAGAACUUUCCAGAGAUGGAUUGGUGCCUUCGGGAACUCAAACACAAGUGCUGCAUGGCUGUCGUCAGCUCG